Bos taurus (domestic cattle) is the source of this 1699-nucleotide long non-coding RNA. Lineage: Eukaryota; Metazoa; Chordata; Mammalia; Artiodactyla; Bovidae. The record is from Ensembl.
CUGGGCCUUUUGCUCACCCUCUGCCCAACCCCAUCUUCUGAGACUGCUGCCUGGACCAGAGAAUCCAGUUUCUACUUGUCCAGGCAAACACUAUGCAUGACAGCCGAAGUUAGAAAGGAACAUGGUAUUUCAGAGAGAGAAAAAAAGAAGUCUAGAGUGCCUAGAGAAGACAGAGCCAAGGAAACAGUGGCUGAAGAUGCAGCUGGAGAAAGAUGCCGGGGCCAUGUAACACACCGCCUUUUAUGCAGCAUUAGAGUCUGCCUUGUGACAUACAGGCCAUUUUGCUGAUAGGUGGAAGACCACUGAUGAGAAUGACGGAAACCAAUGGAGCAAGAGGAGGAGAGGCAUCACUCAGUUAAUCCAGGUUAAUCAGAAUUCCAAAAACAAGUCAGCCCUGGAGAAAGAGUUGCCCAAACACCUGGAUUUGGUUCUCCCAGCUUUGGUUUACACCCCGAGGGUGCCUAGGAUGGUGGUGGGCAAUACGUGGAAGAGUGGAAAGGUUGAACCCUGAAAGGUGUGAACAGGGGGCCAGUUGUAAAUGUCUAGCCUGCAGCCCAUCCAUCUCCUGCCUCAUGUUGACUGAAUGAAUAAGCACGGGUAUGGAUGGCCAUUGUUGAAAGUAGAAUGUCUUGAUAUAACUGCUAUCCAAGAUUCAUCAGACAAGUGCUCUGCGUGUAGAGAUGAGAGAUGAGUUCUGAUGGGAAGACCAAGGAAGGCUCCUGCCUGAGGAACCUCUGAUCCUCAUUCAGGGGUUAGACCUGUCUGCACCUGUGGGAGCUGGUGGUGCAGUCUCUUGUUGGUUGUGCACCCCAUCUUAGGAUCAAGAGAUGGAGCCGUUGGGUCAGCAAGGUCGACAAGUGAGGAAGCAAGCUGGGUGUGGUUGAGAGCGGGGAGCCGACACUUAUGAACUGGAGCCCGACAAAAUCAACCGUAGCCUUCAAGAUCAAAUAGGGCCCACACCUGUGUCUCCCCACUGGCAGCCCCGACGCCGCUGAGGUGGGGAGAAGCUGGGGACUCCUCACAGAGAUGCACACACCUGCUCUGAACCUCGGAAAAGCCAAAGGAGCAAUCUCGCGAGAGGUGGAGGUGGGGUGAAGUAGGAUGCUGCGUCACACCAGCCCCACCCGCUACGGGGUCAGGGUGAUGUGCACACACGUGGGCUGUGGGCCCUGGAGCCUAGCUCUGACCUUCCAAGCGCCCCAAAUAUGGCUGCGACUGCCCUUCCUCUCCUCCCAGCAAAUGUCUCUUGUGACCAGCGCUAACCCAGAACCGUACAAGGAAAGGAAUCCGGAGAAACACAGAUUUGGCUGAACCAAGUCAAUGCACCACGGUUGUUAAGAAUUUCUACUCAUAAUAUUUGCAUUUUACACGUUAUCUUUCUGUGUAGAACAUUAAUAGACAUUGGACAGCCAAAAAAAAUCCUCUUGGAUUACACUUUUUAUGAUUUUGACUGUAAACAGUUUUAAAUAAAUUUUGAUCACAUCUCUUGAAAAUGUGCAAGUAACUUAAUCCCUCAAAUAUGACUUAUAUUUGAGUGUCUUAUUUAAUAUCCUAGCACCUACAGAUAACACUUAAAGAUGAAUGAAGCAGUUGUGUAGGAUUUUAAACUAAUGGCAACCCACUCCAUUAUUCUUGACUGGAGAAUUCCCUGGACGGGGGAGCCUGGUGGGCUACAGUCCAUGGGGUCCCAAAGAGUCGG